GCCGCCGUGGUGAAAUUGGCAGACACGCCAGAUUCAGAGUCUGGUGCCUGCAAGGGCAUGGGGGUUCAAGUCCCUCCGGCGGCA
RNAcentral lists this transfer RNA (84 nucleotides) under Deltaproteobacteria bacterium. Its description in RNAcentral is "tRNA-Leu". It matches the Rfam family "tRNA". Rfam says of the family: Transfer RNA (tRNA) molecules are approximately 80 nucleotides in length. Their secondary structure includes four short double-helical elements and three loops (D, anti-codon, and T loops). The record is from RNAcentral. Lineage: Bacteria; Pseudomonadati; Myxococcota; Myxococcia.